This 504-nucleotide ribosomal RNA is filed under the name uncultured bacterium. RNAcentral's name for it is "partial 16S ribosomal RNA". It matches the Rfam family "Bacterial small subunit ribosomal RNA", at positions 30 to 523 of the family's 1533-position model. The record is from RNAcentral.
AUUGAACGCUGGCGGCAUGCCUUACACAUGCAAGUCGAACGGCAGCGGGGGUAGCUUGCUACCUGCCGGCGAGUGGCGAACGGGUGAGUAAUACAUCGGAACGUGCCCUGUAGUGGGGGAUAACUAGUCGAAAGACUAGCCAAUACUGCAUACGACCUGAGGGUGAAAGUGGGGGACCGCAAGGCCUCAUGCUAUAGGAGCGGCCGAUGUCUGAUUAGCUAGUUGGUGGGGUAAAGGCCCACCAAGGCGACGAUCAGUAGCUGGUCUGAGAGGACGAUCAGCCACACUGGGACUGAGACACGGCCCAGACUCCUACGGGAGGCAGCAGUGGGGAAUUUUGGACAAUGGGGGCAACCCUGAUCCAGCAAUGCCGCGUGUGUGAAGAAGGCCUUCGGGUUGUAAAGCACUUUUGUCCGGAAAGAAAUCGCACUGGUUAAUACCUGGUGUGGAUGACGGUACCGGAAGAAAAAGGACCGGCUAACUACGUGCCAGCAGCCGCAGUAA